UGGGACGGCCCAAAAGUCUAAACCCUAACAGCCCAGCUCUGACAAACUAAACCCUAAUCUUCUUAUUCUUCUUCUCGCUCUCGUUUCUUAUUCAUCAAAACCUUAAACCCUAACCCUCUAUCAUGGCUUCCGGGAGGGUAAGUACCGAGAUGAUGGCGAAAUCCGUCGACGCUCUCCUGAAAUGGCGUCGCUCCCAAUCGGAGACUCAAAAACCGAAGCUAUUCGACGAGGACGAGGAAUUCAUGUACCUAAUCCUACGAUGAAGAAGAUUCCGGCGAAGUCUCGCAUGAACCCUCACAAGGUCCCUCUCCCGCACUCGCUAAUCUCUCCGCUCUCGGAGCAGUGCCUGAUCCUCGACGACAAGCCCAACAAGGCCCGCGUGACAAAGGCCCAGGUCCAGGCAAAGAUCCAGGCCGACUCCAUCCCCGUCGCGAAGGUCCUUAAGCUCUCGAAGCUCGCCUCCGAUUAUCGCCCCUUCGAGGCGAAGCGCAAGCUCUGCGACUCCUACGACCUCUUCUUCGCCGAGAAAAUCAUUGUUCCAUUGCUUCCGCGACGUCAAGAAUGACGUAUACAACCGCUUGCUCGAAACCGGCCACGACCAAGCCAUUUCUAAUCGCGAGUUUCGCGAACACGAGUUACGGACUCGAUGUUAAUAUCGACAGAGCUAAAGACGUUAUGUUGCAUCCAACGCUUCUUGCUUUGCCAAGGGACCCUGCAGACAAGCGUCCCGUCUACUAUAUACGCUUCCUCGAGGGACAAUGUCAACCAAUCAGAAAUCAUCUUCAACAUGACUUUUUUAAAAGUCUGGAUAUAGUUACAACUUGACCUGAGCGUGGAGUAACAAGAUUGGAUAAUGUACAGAAUCAUGUAAAUCUAACAUAGUCUGACUAGAUAAAACUUGGAUGUUGUUUUUUAGGUGCUUGUGGUGCUUUUCCAUAAUCAAAAUUGAAGCUUUACCUUCACAAAUGAAGCAGUAAAGGUUGGCUUGGGUUAGUGAGUUGAAACUUCAAUUUAAUUAGAGAACAACACCAACACCUAAAGAAUAACACCUAAGUUUUGCAAUGAAUCCUAAAAUCAAUGAUACUGUUAUGCCAACAUCUUAUUUUGAACAUACAACCAAUAAAUUUAACCUUUUGGGUGAUUUGUUUGUAUACUUACAGUUUCAAUGUUUGUUGCUUAUGGUAGCACUGAAGAAGAAUUACAUAUGUUGUUGAUUUUGAAAUUUUAGAUUUUUGUGAAUAUCAAAUACCUAUCCAAAAUAUAAAUGUUAUUAGAUUACUUUAACUAUCUUUGCUUCUUAAUUACAAGAAUUUCUUGCAAGGGUUUCACUUUCUCUCUUGUAACUUGUACAUUUUAUAUUCAGUUGAACACUCAAGUGCUUAAGUUGGUAAAUGGUAAUUAUUUGUAAUCCUUAGUAUGUACUAUGUACCGUCUGUUGAUUGUUUUCUUUCUUGGUCUUCAUCUACAUCUAUUUAGUAGGCUAUCUUGCAUAUAACAAUUUCUUCUUGAUGGGACCUUGUAGACACUCAAUUUCAUCCGGGAGCAUACAAAUAAGGAAAUAGACUUCUGUUAUGAAGGGAAUGAACUUCUAAAACAUGCAAACAACAGGACAGGACAUUAGAAGGCCCAAAAGCCCAAACAAGCUAGAAUGGACUAUUGCAAAACCAGAACGAGCUGUUCCCAAUUCCGAACAGGCCGUUCCAAGUUCCUAAAAAGGCCUAAAACCCUAGUUUGGAAUGGGUUGUUCCUCAAUUGGAACGGGCUGUUCCAAACUCCUCAAAAAAGGGCUAAAACCUUAACUGGAACGGGCCGUUCCUAAAUUGGAACGGGCUGUUCCAAGUUAUUAAAAUGACCUACAAACUUUUGUUUGGAACGGCCGUUCCAGUCUAGGCAAUUAUGUGUUAACCUCACCUCUGGAAUGGGCCGUUCUAGUUUCAGAACGGGCCGUUCCAGUCACAAGAUUAACACACAACGUUUGAAUCCAGAACGGGUCGUUCCAGUUUUGGAACGAGCCGUUCUGGAAACCCUUCUGAUGUCUAUAAAUAAACAACUUGGGCAUAGUUCUCGGGGCUCCAAAUUUUAUCUAGACUCCUUAGAGCACGAAAUUUCUCUCUUUUUCUCUCUCUCUUUGAUACAUUGUAAUGUAAAAGGUUGCCAUAAAGC
Non-coding RNA from Cajanus cajan (pigeon pea), 2163 nucleotides. Lineage: Eukaryota; Viridiplantae; Streptophyta; Magnoliopsida; Fabales; Fabaceae. The record is from RefSeq and is a predicted model, not a curated record.